This 498-nucleotide ribosomal RNA is filed under the name uncultured bacterium. RNAcentral's name for it is "bacterial SSU rRNA". It matches the Rfam family "Bacterial small subunit ribosomal RNA", at positions 29 to 507 of the family's 1533-position model. The record is from RNAcentral.
AACGAACGUUAGCGGCGCGCCUAACACAUGCAAGUCGCACGAGAAAGGGCUUCGGCCCCGGUACAGUGGCGCACGGGUGAGUAACACGUGGAUAAUCUUCCCUCGGGCGGGGGAUAACCUUCCGAAAGGAGGGCUAAUACCGCAUAAGCCCACGGUCUCGAAAGAGACAGCGGGAAAAGCAGGCCUCUAUAUAUAAGCUUGCACCUGAGAAUGAGUCCGCGGCCCAUCAGUUAGUUGGCGGGGUAAUGGCCCACCAAGGCAAAGACGGGUAGCUGGUCUGAGAGGAUGAUCAGCCACACUGGAACUGACACACGGGCCAGACUCCUACGGGAGGCAGCAGUGGGGAAUUUUGGGCAAUGGGCGAAAGCCUGACCCAGCAACGCCGCGUGAGGGAGGAAAUCCUUCGGGAUGUAAACCUCACAAGCAAGGGAAGAGCGCAUGAAGGAGAAUACCCUUCAUGCCCGACGGUACCUUGCGUAAGCCACGGCUAACUACGUG